CAGCCGCCGCGGUAAUACGUAGGUGGCAAGCGUUGUCCGGAAUUAUUGGGCGUAAAGGGCUCGCAGGCGGUUUCUUAAGUCUGAUGUGAAAGCCCCCGGCUCAACCGGGGAGGGUCAUUGGAAACUGGGAAACUUGAGUGCAGAAGAGGAGAGUGGAAUUCCACGUGUAGCGGUGAAAUGCGUUGAGAUGUGGAGGAACACCAGUGGCGAAGGCGACUCUCUGGUCUGUAACUGACGCUGAGGAGCGAAAGCGUGGGGAGCGAACAGGAUUAGAUACCCCCGUAGUCCCUGUCUCUUAUAC
This 301-nucleotide ribosomal RNA is filed under the name uncultured bacterium. RNAcentral's name for it is "partial 16S ribosomal RNA". It matches the Rfam family "Bacterial small subunit ribosomal RNA", at positions 509 to 807 of the family's 1533-position model. The record is from RNAcentral.